RNAcentral lists this small RNA (125 nucleotides) under Marmota monax (woodchuck). The record is from RNAcentral. Lineage: Eukaryota; Metazoa; Chordata; Mammalia; Rodentia; Sciuridae.
GCCGGGUGCGAUGGCUCACGCCUGUCAUCCCAGCAGCUUGGGAGGCUGAGGCAGGAGGAUGGCGAGUUCCAAGCCAGCCUCAGCCAAAGUGAGGCCCUAAGCAACUCAGUGAGACCCUGUCUCUA